GAAGGGAACACAAAUGGAGGAUAUCAUGGCCAGGGCAUCAGAUAUCAGAAACACCACAAAGGCAAUCCCCCUUAUACGCCUGUAGAUGCUCUCAUCAUCGCUGCGAUCCCUCUCAAAACUCCCUGAUAAGGUGAAUGCUGCAGUGAAGGUGACGGUGGUAAUAAGCGCUGCCACGACGGGUAGACUAUCGGCGAUCUCUUUAUAGUUCUUCUCUUCGACUUUGCUCUUUUGGUCUACCGUAUGCACUGUAUGCUUACUGUCGGCUAUUUCUUUUUGAUUCUUCUCUUCAACCGUGCCCUUUUGGUCCACCGGAUGGACCAUGUCCUGAAGGAGCUGCGGGUCACUGAAUCGCGCACCCUUAUUCGUCAAAUCAAUCACUACCUUGAACUGCAAAAACAAGUAGAACCUGUUAGAUCAUUUAGACGGACACCAAGAACAGGAGUGAAGGGUUUAAAGUACGUACCAUUUUGAUUACCAGGCGGUUCCUUGUGUUGGAUAGAGCGACAUCAAGAGCGGUUUGACCGCGGUUGUUGGUUGCACUAAGCUUGACUCUUGGACUGGACGACAACAUUUGUAUGAUGGCCAUGUCUCGAGAUAUUAUAGCUCGAUGCAGGGGAGUGUUCCCAUCCGAAUCCGGCUCGUUCAAGAGAUCAGUGAGACGAGGUGAUGUAGCCACAAAUCGGACCACUUGUUCUCUUCGUUUGCUGAUGGCUACGUGGAAGAAGUUGCUGCCCUCCCCGUCCCUCACCUCCGUACAACCGGAGCAUGUUUCGAUGAGAUGUUUGAUCACGUUCACAUGCCCGAAGCUUGCAGCGACAUGGAUUGCAGAGGCGCCACCAUUGUCUCGCACAUACGCGGUAGAUGGAUCAUUUUGUAGCAGAAGUCUCACCAUUUCAAGGUCUCCGCGGGCGGCUGCAAAGUGGAGAGGUACGAGUCCGGCGGCAUCGGCUUUUCGGGUUAAACUGGCCCUCUGCUGCAGCAACAUCCUUGUGAUUUCCACAGCUGAUAAAUCGGAAGACGUUGGAAAAGGUUGUGGGAUCCACCAAUAAACUAAAAGCUUAUAUUAAACAUGAGUAUUUAUAAUCUUUUAGAAGAUUCAAUCUUAUUUCCUUUCUGAAUUACGUAUGACUAAGACUCUUAAAUCAAAAUCUUAUUAAUUUAAUAUUUCAAGAAACCCAUAUAAAAAAUAUAUUGUCAAACCUUUCGUUUGAAAUAAACGAAAUUAAUUAUACACUAAGGAAACUACUAUUGGAACAAUCUACUGUUCUAAUUCAUAAGAGAGAGUCAGUCUUAAUUGAAACAGAUGGAUAUUUCUAUGUCUAUAAGAUUUAACAGUACAAUUUGACACAGAGGGUUCGUGUGAUCGAUCGACUUACGGUGGCUCCUGAGGACGGCUGAGUGCAAAGCCGUCCGCCCAUUGGGUCCGUCGCAUGACGCCUCCGUCGCCGCCAGCAAACGCCGCACGAUCGACGCUGACCCGCUUUCCACCGCCAUAUAGAGGGGCGACACGCCGUUGACGUUGUUGGUCACCGCCGAUACGCCCGGAGCCUUCGCCAUCAGUUCCUCGACGAAGGAAUCGUGGCCGUUCAGUGCCGCCUCGUGCAAGGCUGUGUUACCAACGUUGUUUACCAUGUAGGGCAGCCGACGUUCAGGAUCGCCCCGACGGGGAGGGUGAGGGAUGAAGACAUCCACCAUGGGCGUGUGGCCGGCUCUGGCAGCGCAGUGCAUCGGAGUGUCUCCUUGUCCGUUUUGGAUCAUGAGGAGGAAGGGCUGCCGGUUGAGGACUCCGGUGGCGAAGUCAGUGUGUCCUAGCUUGGCUGCAAUGUGAAGCACGGUGUUCCUUUCGGCCGUGACUUGAAGGAGGGAGUCGUUGCCUCCGAGUACGCUCAUGUCGCCCGUCCUCGCUGCCACCAACAAUUCAUGGCUCAUCGGAGUAGCAAAUAAGCCAGGGAGUGGUUCCAUGGCCUCCUCCUCUCCUUGUCGAGAUACUCUUUAACUAUUAUAAAGUAACCCAAGACGAUAUGCCGUCGAUAAGAAUGCGUUUGUGUGAUAUGGUUCUAACUCAUUCGAUGUUAAUGUCAGUGUGUCUCUAAACAGUGCGAUAAAGAAUUAAACUGAAACUUGGUAGUUGGUAAUCUUUGACCCAUUCUCCAAAACAUGUCUGAACAGAGUCAAUGUAAAACCAGCCGACUCCCAAGUCUUUCUUAUUGUGGAUGACAGUAGCCAACACAUGAUCAAGCCAUGAGAUGGUUUGGAUGGGAAGUCCCCAUCGAUCGUCCAUCAUCUGCAUAGAAUAGAAUAGAACAGCGGCACAGACAUCCCGUUCCAGUGGGAGUUUCUGAUUUCUUAUGACAGUGCCACAAUACCUGCCUUCUCCUCUCACACAAACCACACUACUGUUUUGUGAAAAAUGAUACUUAUAACCAUGCUUUUCUAUAUACAAACAAGCAAAUGUAGUCUCUUGAUGUUAAGUUAGCACACAUUGCUAAGAUUGCCCAAAUCGAAGUACAUCUUGAUUGUCACAUCCGUUCCUCCCUCUACUCUUCUAAUCUGUUAUGCGACCAUAUUAACUGCCCUCUUUAGUUAUUCUUCGUUUUUGAGUUCAAUUAAUUCUUCUCCUUCUAAUCCUUUGAAAUAGUCCCUACGGUCGGUAGCCUAAUAGAUCUCGCUCGAGCCCCAAUUUCAUCUUUGUUCGCUUUCUUUUCGGCAUUGGUAGAUGAAACCAACAUAUUAGAUGAGAAGAAAAAAAAAAGACUUGCAUGAUAAAAGAAGUCACGUCAAUAUAAAUGAAUGCAUUUGACCAAAUUUCAAAGUAAACCACAUAAGUUAGCCACAGAUAUUAGCUAGCUAGGAGCCUCGCAAUUAAGUUGACCAACUCAACUAUCGUGAAUCGGAACAUCUGACUCGGAUAACCAACUCAAAUCCUAUCUCAAUCUCAUUCUAAUCUAAUCAUAGUAUAAAUUACUCAGUGGUAGAAGAACAAUACUGUGCUGGUUGAAGUUGCAGCCAUAUAUAAAUAAAGAACCCACUGGCCGUCUUUGAGCUGUUCAUCGAAAGGUUUUAUGUUGUUAGAAUGGCAGGACAUACUCGACACAUCAAAUACAAUUUGAUGCGUCAACUGCUGACGGAAUCAGACGGUGCUUUCUGAAUAGUUAAAUGAAAUAUUAAUAAUUCUGUCUCAAUCUGCUCUAAUCGUAGUAUAAAAUAUUCCAAGGUAAGAGAACGUACUCUACUUCGCUGGUUAAAGUCGCAGCUUUGGACAACCUUUAAUAAAGUCGACGAAGUUUCGGGAACAAAAAUUCUUUUUUUCUCUCCACCUUUAGCCAUUUUUCUAGUGCAAGCAUAUGAGACAAUAUGAGUCUUUUCAACUCCGGAAAUAUCCCAUUAUUACCAUAAAAUGCUUCGUCCACAACAUUGAUUAAAUCCAUACCACUUAUCUCAACAAUCUCAAGAUCGAGUAGUCCUCCGAGUGAUGGUAGCUUUUUACAUCUCUUAAGAUUGAUUAGUUUGAUCUCUUUCAACUUGUGGAGAUAGUUAAACCCCUCUUUUAUCUAUACAGGGAAUUCUUCACCAACAUAUAAAAUAAUCUCUAAUUUUUUCAAGUUUGGAUUGGGUUGGAGGCCUUCAAGUAAUUGUAGCGAAACUAAUUCUGAAGUUAUCAUAUUUUCCCUAUUUACCCAUUUCUAAUGUAACUUCAAAUACAUGAGUUACGGAAGUAUAUCAUGCAACUUUAAAUAAGUCAAAGUAUCUUCUGAAUUUGACACUUGUUCGAGGUUUUAUAACUAUAAUUCAUUUAGAUUCAUCAACGAUUCCAACUUUAAGAAGGCAUUUCCAAGAUCACCAACUACGAUAUGUCCAGACAACUUCAGGAGAUUACUCAUCUGACUUAUUCCGUAUGAUAUUUGAUUCAAUGGACAUCUAUAUACAUUAAGAUUUGUCAGCUUUUUCAUAUUAUUCAAACCCUCAGGCAAUUCGAUAAGCCAUUGUUAACUUUUCAGGUCUAACUCUUGCAGAUUUAUAAGGUUGGUGACCGAAAUAGGUUGCCUCUGAAGUUUUAAAACAUGCAAGUUCUCAAGAUUAUUUAUUCGCUUCGGUAGUUUCUAAAGCUUUUCAUAAUAAACUAGAUUUAAUACUCAUAAAUUUCUGAGCUUGCAUAAGGAUUUAGUAAGUGCUUGGAUCUCGGACCGGGAAAGAUUGAGGUAUCUCAAGAUAAGCAACUUGCCCACCGAAUUAGGUAGCUGUUCGACUUUGAUGACUCGUAAAUAUAAUACACAUAGAUGUAUAAGAUUGGUAAACAUACCUUCCGGAAUUUGUAGGAUAUGAUAUUUAUAUUAAAGAUCCAUCUCUUGUUGUAAUAGCAAACCUCUCAACUGAUUUAUCCCAUCGAAUAAGGUCGUCGGAAAUGUGAUCGUAUUGGAAUCGAUGAACAUACGUAAAUAAAGAUAUUGUCGUGGUAUUGUUGAAUUUGAUAAAACCCCCCUCAAGUCAUAGCAAUGUUUUGUGGUAAUAAAUAAAAAAUACAUAUCAUCAUAGACGUGGAACUCCAGAUUUGCCUUUAAUGGUGCCUUCGACGUCUGAAUACGGCAGAAAGCCUUCAGCAGCUAAGACGUGCAAGAAGUCCUCAUAAUUGGUCUUGCCAUCUUGUACGAUCAACCAGCGGUACAACACCAAUCGUGUCAUCGUAGGUGUCAUGUAAUGAAGAAAAAUUAAAGUCGUAUCCUGGUUGUGCAUCGCUUUCACCCACUGACGCAUAAUUAGAGCAUAAAUUUGUUGUUGCCAUCGAUUCAUUUCAGUAUAUCUGAAUACGGAGCCAAAAAUCUUCGCCUCCGUGGGAGACCAAUCAUUUAAAUAAUAAAAUAAUAGUUUCUCUUACAGGAUUGAAUUAUGGCGUUUGCUUGCUCGUGUUGAUCAGGCCGGAUGAGUGCUUGUCUCAUGCACAAUUUUGCCCACUCAUCCUCCGAUAGGCCGCUGAAUUGCCACGUUCGGACGGACGACCCCAAUAUAUCCAGAAUAAAAAACAAGUUAGGAAUGACCACCGCGGUAAUCCCCGAUGCGCCGACGAGCAAUAGAAAGUUCUCCAAUUGGAGCCACUUAUCCUUGUCCUCCUCCCCUAUGUUGAGAUCAUCCAGAACGAGGAAGUAUUUGCUUACAUGGAUUCCAUCGUAGAAUAGUCAAACGUCAUCGCAUGGUUCCCCGGUUAUUGAACUCAUGAAUUCUCUCGUAGAUUUAAUGUUAGGGACAUCCACCCUUUAUAACGGGAUAAGAUAUAUAUAAUAUAACUAAUUGAAUUCUAUGAAAUAUUUUGGUCAAUAGAAAAGAAAUCCACUUAAAAUAGGAUUCCUUAGGAGAUAACUUUUUGAUGGGAGGAAAUCUCUAAAUUAUUUAUCUUAGACUCUCUGCUCUCGCCUAUAAAUAGAUAAGACUUCUAGGGACUAAAGAGAGAAUAUCUCAUAGAGGUUAUAGUUGAGGGAUUAUAGUAUUCCCCCCAACUCUUCUCCUUAAACCAUCAAUCUAGGUUGUCCUGUGACAGAAUGAUCAAACAUAGAUCUCUUUUCAGAUGGCAUCAAAAGGUACGCAUUGUUAAACUAGAUCUAAGUAUUUGAUUUCAAUUCUGGUAUAAUAGAUUAUUUUUAUAUUUAAUUCAGCAUAUUAUAGUUUUUUUAUGUUUACAUCAACUUGAGUGGCUUUACUAGUUUGCAUGUGAGUGCCCAUUCAUUUUUUUCAAAACAGUCACAUAUUAUUGUUGCCCAUUAUAUAUAGUAAUGUUAAUUUUAUCAUAUUAUCUUGCUACGGCAAUUCAAUAUUUGCUUUAUCCACUCUAAUACUACUCUGUUAUGUCCUUAGCUAGAAUUGCUUAAGGCGUAUGGUAUCCAAAUGAUGAGUCCGAAAGGGUUAACCUAGACCUUAACUUUAUGCAGUAUAUAAAGAACCUGUAUAAUGAAAAAAAAUGUUAAAAAGGUGAAUGUAGGGGUAAUUUAUCAUUGUUGCAUAAAAAAGGGCAAGAUAAUCGACAUUCAAAGUAACACAAAGUAAUUGGUGUUUAUUAGACUCGAAAGGGUCUCAAAAAUAGGCAGAACGAGUGCACACAAAGGAGAUUCCGAAGGUAGAUGUAGGCCUAAUAUUUGCCACUUGGGGGGGGGGGGGUUCUAAAGUGCUGAGACAACUGAUAUUUCAUAUCGCUAGGCCAUCAACCAAAAAUCAACUGACAUUUCAUAUCGUUAGACCAUCAACCAAAAAUCAACUCCUAGCACGUGAGAACAAUAUAGUUUUAGGUCAUUUUCCGCUUUGGUGCCGCACAACCAAAAAUAUUUUUAAGUUUUACAUGAUAAAAACAUAAAAUAAAAACACUGAUAAUAAACAAAAAAGGGGUUGAGUAUAGUGUUUUAUGUCUCGUACAGGUUGUCCUAAAGAAAACAUCGAAAAUACGAAGAAAACAACAUAAAACAAGAAUUGAAAAUUAUCAUGGACAAAUGAUGAAUACCUUGUCAUGUGACUGACACAUGAUUGACACAUCAACAACCACUUUUAUGUAUCGAUCAUGAUUAUAAUGGUAUAAAAAAUCCAUUAUAAAGGAGUUUCCCAAGUAUUUUCAUGAAACUUUUUUCAAUAUUAUUAAAGUUAUUGGUUGAAUACUUCAAGUCCAAAAUAAACUUAAGCAUCAAAAAAACAUUUAUUGAGAAUGCCCCUAAAAUAGUUCUAUGAAGAACAAUAUGGUUCAACCACUUCGAAAUUGAUAGGAUUCAACCUCAUCCGGAUCCAAUGGGUUUGGCACCUUCAAGGUUGAACGAGUGUGGUGUCGAUUGAGACAAAUUAUGACAAAUAUAAAAUGAACCUCGGGUAGCUUUGAAUAUGUAGCCAGACAAAUUAUGACAAAUGUACAACCGAAUUCUAUGCUAAUAACAUAUAAGUGAUGAAAUAAAUUAGAUGCUUGAUCCAAAAUUUUAGCUAUAGACCCUCAAUCUUUGUUUCCUACACUUAUCUUGAAUAUAUUCGAUCUGAUAAUGACUUCCAUAAACGUGGUUUUGUAUAGACUAGCAUAAAUUUUAGUUCGAUUCUAAAAUUUGAAAUCAAUCAAUUAAUUUUAAGAAGAGAUUUGUAAUUAAAGACCUUUAUGUGUUUCUUGUUGAUAGGACGUGACUUGUUUGUAAUGAAAAGAAAAUAUUUAAAUUUGACUAACAUUUUGAGAAAGAGAUUAUGAUGCAAGAAUGAAGAAAAAAAAAGUUGAAAAUAUAACAUUUUCCUUCCUUUAAAUUUUUUUACUUAUAUUAAAUUAGUGUGAGAAAAUUAGGGUGCACCCUUUGAGAAAUAUGAAAAAGGUCGCAUCUCCCAAGAAAAGUCUAGAAAUUCACCCAAAUUUAUUCUCAGCGAGUGUUCCAAAGGAGAAAAAAAUAUAUAAUAUACUCAAAUUCUUGAGUUUUGAACUGUUCUUAUUUGAAUAGUCACAAUCAUAUUCAUGAAAAUAUAAAAGAUCAAAAAGGAGUGGUAAAAAAACAAAAAAAUCUUAUAAAUUAUAUUAAAAAUGCAUUUAUCAUAAUUUUAUUAUAUUAUUAAAAAGUACAUUAUAUAUUAUUACACAGAUUAGAUAAGAAAUAUUGUAUAUUAUAUAAGAUUUGGUUUAACAUAAUGUAUUGAGUGAGAAUAUUUUCAAGAAAUGAUGCCAAUGUUAAUAUUUUCUUAAAUCGGAUUUGGAAGGGAUAGUUAGAUCACAUUGCAAUUAAUUUAGUGAUCAGCAAGGGAAGAGUGUCAUUCCUUAUCAGGAUCUCUUAUCCACGUUUAGAGUUGGAAAUAACAAUACCAAGCAAGAGCCGUAAGCUCUUGAAACAAGCCCAUGUCUCGAGAUGUGUUAUUUUCAGGCCGAAGUUCUUCGAUAACAUUAACAACCUGUUUUUUGUUUUUGAAUUUCUAAAGAAAAACAUGUAUAAUUAAUAUUAAAAACAUAUAUAAUUUCCAAAUCAAAACAUGAAGCUCCAAAGAAAACCCCUCGACCCAAAAAUUUCCAUAGCCACUUACUUUAGCGGCAUUCGCUAGCAUGAUGAAGUCAUUGUGAAUUUAUAAGACUUAGAUCUUGUGAAUUUAUACAAGCACUUUAUUCUUUAGAUGCUUCCCUAUCGAUCGUAAAGUCUUGUGAAUUUAUAAGAGUUAGAUAUUGAAGGAUGUCAAUGAUUCGUCAAGUCUAUAUAUAUCCAUUGGCUUAAAUGUGGAAUACGAGCACUUUAUUCUUUAGAUGCUCCCCUAUCGACUGCAAAGUUUUGUGAAUUUAUAAGAGUUAGAUCUUGAAGGAUGUCAAUGAUUCGUCAAGUCUAUAGAUGUCCAUUGGCUUAAAUGUCGCAGGGAAUAGAGAAGAUGGGUAACCUCCUAACAUUGUCUUAGUUAACAGUCGAAACACUAUCACAGAGUUGUAGUCAUUAAGAGAUUCAAAAGAACGGCAUCUACAAAACCUCCCUACUCCUUUAAAGUUGCACAACUUACUUAUGCAUUGCAUUCGAAAUGGUUAAAUAUGACAUUUGAAUUGUAAGUAUUUGGAGGUCUCCAACACAACCCAAAAUUGAAAAAAAUUAGAAAUCAUUUCAUAUGCUGACAAGAGAUUCCCAAUAUGAAUAAAAGCGAUUUUUUGAUGUCUCUAUAAUCUGAAAGUGAUCAAACUCAACAGAAACUAAUUGGUCUCGAGAUUAUUAAGAUAAAUGUUGGCAUAACCAUGCGACGAGUUGCUACUUAUUGAUGAGGUGCAUCUGUCAUACAUAUAAGCACAUUGCGGAUAAUGGUCAAAUUAACAUUAUUACUUGUUGAUGAGGUCAAAUUUGGAUCGUCCAUCUGUGGAAGAAAACCAUUCGAGCCUAUCUAUCACCACAGCAACAUAUUCUUCAAGUUUGCAGCGAGGUAGAGUGAUACAGGUCGUGACCACCAAUCAUCCCUCGCUCGGGUACUGCUCAGGAUUUUGUGAUGGAGAAGCCCCACACACCGGGAAACUUGAUGAAGUCUACUGCUAAUUCAUAGUUGGCAAUUCGUAUCAGCCUAUGCCGGGCGAUCAUUAAUCUAGCGUAAAUGAUCUGGAACUCACUCCCUCUAGUCAACCGACAUAGGUAAGGGUAGUAAGGAAGGAUCCUUCUCUUGAGGAUUGGAAUAGAGAGCAGAAUCACGAGCCAGAUGAGGAUGAUGAGCCAGUGAUCCGCAAGAAGCACACACACACCACUGGCGAAUGCUACCGUGAACCCUAUGAACGCAACCUGCAGUAAUAUUUCGGAAAGAGUAAGACAGUUGACCUGGGUAACAGGAGUUCCUACUCGCACAAAGAUGACGAGGAAGGGAACACAAAUGGCGGUUAUCAUGGCCAGGGCAUCAAAUAUCAGAAACACCACGAAGGCAAUCCCCCUUAUACGCAUGUAGAUGCUGCCAUAAUCGCUGCGAUCCAUCUUAAAACUACUUGACAAGGUGAAUGCUGCAGUGAAGGUGGCGGUGGUAAUAAGCGCUGCCACGACGGGUAGACUAUCGGCGAUCUCUUUAUAGUUCUUCUCUUCGACUUUGCUCGUUUGGUCUACCGUAUGCACUGUAUGCCUACUGUCGGCUAUUUCUUUAUGAUUCUUCUCUUCGACCGUGCCCUUUUGGUCUGAUGGACCAUGUCCUGAAGGAGCUGCGGGUCACUGAAUCGCGCACCC
This 9653-nucleotide long non-coding RNA is filed under the name Musa acuminata (dwarf banana). Its description in RNAcentral is "long non-coding RNA (MACU_LNC004979)". Lineage: Eukaryota; Viridiplantae; Streptophyta; Magnoliopsida; Zingiberales; Musaceae. The record is from RNAcentral.